UAUGUAGAAGUCACAACUAUCUGAGGCCGGUCAAUAAUAAUGUAGGCAACAACACAAGUUAGAAGUCUUGAUUAGUGAACCAAGUUCCAAUAACUUGCCAUGCCAAAAUAAAAAAGGAGGAUUGAUCUUGUAUUGGUGUAAGUCCUUUGCAUGAUUUAGGAAACAACCUAUCCUUAAUGCAAAGCCAUUCACUUGAUCAAUUGAUCAAGAUGAGUUAGAUUUGAAUAAAGGAAGAUUAAGUCUCCCUAAUCAAUGCUAACUAAUCAAC
RNAcentral lists this long non-coding RNA (268 nucleotides) under Lathyrus oleraceus (garden pea). Its description in RNAcentral is "Pisum sativum (pea) long non-coding RNA (PSAT_LNC041721)". The record is from RNAcentral. Lineage: Eukaryota; Viridiplantae; Streptophyta; Magnoliopsida; Fabales; Fabaceae.